RNAcentral lists this ribosomal RNA (170 nucleotides) under Solms-laubachia retropilosa. Its description in RNAcentral is "5.8S ribosomal RNA". It matches the Rfam family "5.8S ribosomal RNA". Rfam says of the family: 5.8S ribosomal RNA (5.8S rRNA) is a component of the large subunit of the eukaryotic ribosome. It is transcribed by RNA polymerase I as part of the 45S precursor that also contains 18S and 28S rRNA. The record is from RNAcentral. Lineage: Eukaryota; Viridiplantae; Streptophyta; Magnoliopsida; Brassicales; Brassicaceae.
AAGUCUAAAACGACUCUCGGCAACGGAUAUCUCGGCUCUCGCAUCGAUGAAGAACGUAGCGAAAUGCGAUACUUGGUGUGAAUUGCAGAAUCCCGUGAACCAUCGAGUCUUUGAACGCAAGUUGCGCCCCAAGCCUUUAGGCCGAGGGCACGUCUGCCUGGGUGUCACAA